Molecule: long non-coding RNA, 667 nt
Filed under: Mustela putorius furo (domestic ferret)
Lineage: Eukaryota; Metazoa; Chordata; Mammalia; Carnivora; Mustelidae
Description: lncRNA (ENSMPUG00000031966.1)
Source: RNAcentral
UUUGUUCUUCUUUCUUUCUUUCUUUCUUUUUUUUUUUUUUUUUUAAAUCCGUGUCCUCUGAGGUUCUCUUUGAAAAUCUGUUGAAUGUUUCUGGCCUUUAUAUUCUCUCAAACUGACAAAACCCAUUACUAAAUGGAUGUUAAUGAAGCCACGGGGCCAAGUCAUUGGUAAUUCAAAACGAAAACCGUGACCGCGUGAGGCUGUCAUACGUCGCCCCUGAAAAGCCACAGCAAAAUGCUGUGCUCUUCAAGGAGACCCUUGAAAUUAAGACGUUCACCCAGAAAUGUUAAGCGAUUCGGGGGCUUUGAAACAAAGUGCCCUCAUUAACACGACCUCAGGCUUGCGCUGUCUGAACAGAAACGGCGAUGGAAAAGUAAAUAAUGAGCCCGUUUCCUGGCACUAGAGCCGACAAAGACCUACACACCUGGAGGGCGGCAGUGCUUUUCCCGGAGAUCAGGUCUAAAAAUAGACCUCUCAGCUUUGCUCCAGUCCACCCCCAAUUCCCGAGCAGACAUCUGGAAAGAUUCCCUUUUAAGUCCGCAAGAGGAAAGGAACGAAACAAACUACUGGAACCAAACAUGGAAAUGAUGGUUGAAGACCAAGACUGCGAACCAAUCAAGCUAAAGCGUUAAAGUUGCUCUGAUUAUUAAAUGAAGAUCUAUUUUCC